This 301-nucleotide ribosomal RNA is filed under the name uncultured bacterium. Its description in RNAcentral is "partial 16S ribosomal RNA". It matches the Rfam family "Bacterial small subunit ribosomal RNA", at positions 509 to 807 of the family's 1533-position model. The record is from RNAcentral.
CAGUCGCCACGGUAAUACGGAGGGGGCUAGCGUUGUUCGGAAUUACUGGGCGUAAAGCGCACGUAGGCGGCUUGGUAAGUUAGAGGUGAAAGCCUGGAGCUCAACUCCAGAAUUGCCUUUAAGACUGCCGAGCUAGCAGGUGAGAGAGGUAAGUGGAAUUUCGAGUGUAGGGGUGAAAUUCGUAGAUAUUCGGAAGAACACCAGUGGCGAAGGCGGCUCACUGGCUCAUUCUAGACGCUGAGGUGCGAAAGCGUGGGGAGCAAACAGGAUUAGAGACCCCUGUAGUCCCUGUCUCUUAUAC